AACGAACGCUGGCGGCGUGGAUUAGGCAUGCAAGUCGAACGCGAAAGAGGGGGCAACUCCUCGAGUAGAGUGGCGAACGGGUGAGUAACGCGUGAAGAACCUGCCUUUGACAGGGGGAUAACACUCCCAACGGAGUGCUAAUACCGCAUGAGACCACGGGUUCGCAUGGACCCGAGGUCAAAGAUGGCCUCUAUUUAUAAGCUAUCGGUCGAAGAUGGCUUCGCGUCCCAUUAGCUAGUUGGCGGGUAACGGCCCACCAAGGCGACGAUGGGUAGCUGGUCUGAGAGGAUGGUCCAGCCACACUGGGACUGAGAUACGGCCCAGACUCCUACGGGAGGCUG
Molecule: ribosomal RNA, 341 nt
Filed under: uncultured Latescibacterota bacterium
Lineage: Bacteria; Pseudomonadati; Candidatus Latescibacterota
Description: bacterial SSU rRNA
Rfam family: Bacterial small subunit ribosomal RNA
Source: RNAcentral